AGCGAACGCUGGCGGCAGGCCUAACACAUGCAAGUCGAACGAACUCUUCGGAGUUAGUGGCGGACGGGUGAGUAACACGUGGGAACGUGCCUUUUGGUUCGGAAUAACUCAGGGAAACUUGUGCUAAUACCGAAUGUGCCCUUCGGGGGAAAGAUUUAUCGCCAUUAGAGCGGCCCGCGUCUGAUUAGCUAGUUGGUGAGGUAACGGCUCACCAAGGCGACGAUCAGUAGCUGGUCUGAGAGGAUGACCAGCCACACUGGGACUGAGACACGGUCCAGACUCCUACGGGAGGCAGCAGUGGGGAAUCUUGCGCAAUGGGCGAAAGCCUGACGCAGCCAUGCCGCGUGAAUGAUGAAGGUCGUAGGAUUGUAAAAUUCUUUCACCGGGGACGAUAAUGACGGUACCCGGAGAAGAAGCCCCGGCUAACUUCGUG
Molecule: ribosomal RNA, 433 nt
Filed under: uncultured bacterium
Lineage: Bacteria
Description: partial 16S ribosomal RNA
Rfam family: Bacterial small subunit ribosomal RNA
Source: RNAcentral